AUUGAACGCUGGCGGCAUGCCUUACACAUGCAAGUCGAACGGCAGCACGGACUUCGGUCUGGUGGCGAGUGGCGAACGGGUGAGUAAUAUAUCGGAACAUACCCAGUAGUGGGGGAUAACUAUCCGAAAGGAUAGCUAAUACCGCAUACGAUCUGUGGAUGAAAGCAGGGGAUCUUCGGACCUUGUGCUAUUGGAAUGGCCGAUAUCUGAUUAGCUAGUUGGUAGGGUAAAAGCCUACCAAGGCGACGAUCAGUAGCUGGUCUGAGAGGACGACCAGCCACACUGGAACUGAGACACGGUCCAGACUCCUACGGGAGGCAGCAGUGGGGAAUUUUGGACAAUGGGGGCAACCCUGAUCCAGCAAUGCCGCGUGAGUGAAGAAGGCCCUCGGGUUGUAAAGCUCUUUUGUCAGGGAAGAAACGGAGUUCUCUAAUAUAGGAUUCUAAUGACGGUACCUGAAGAAUAAGCACCGGCUAACUACGUGCCAGCAGCCGCGGUAAUACGUAGGGUGCAAGCGUUAAUCGGAAUUACUGGGCGUAAAGCGUGCGCAGGCGGUUUUGUAAGUCUGAUGUGAAAUCCCCGGGCUCAACCUGGGAACUGCAUUGGAGACUGCAAGGCUAGAGUGUGUCAGAGGGGGGUAGAAUUCCACGUGUAGCAGUGAAAUGCGUAGAGAUGUGGAGGAAUACCGAUGGCGAAGGCAGCCCCCUGGGAUAACACUGACGCUCAUGCACGAAAGCGUGGGGAGCAAACAGGAUUAGAUACCCUGGUAGUCCACGCCCUAAACGAUGUCUACUAGUUGUCGGGACUUAAUUGUCUUGGUAACGCAGCUAACGCGUGAAGUAGACCGCCUGGGGAGUACGGUCGCA
Molecule: ribosomal RNA, 866 nt
Filed under: uncultured beta proteobacterium
Lineage: Bacteria; Pseudomonadati; Pseudomonadota; Betaproteobacteria
Description: bacterial SSU rRNA
Rfam family: Bacterial small subunit ribosomal RNA
Source: RNAcentral